CAAUAGCGUAUAUUUAAGUUGUUGCAGUUAAAAAGCUCGUAGUUGUAUUUCGGAUGGGAUUUGCCGGUCCGUCGUUACGAUGUGCACUGGCCAGUCCUAUCUUGUUGUCGGGGACUAGCUCCUUGGAUUAACUUCCUGGGACUAGGAGCUGACGAGGUUACUUUGAGUAAAUUAGAGUGUUCAAAGCAAGCCUUCGCUCUGAAUACAUUAGCAUGGAAUAACACGACAGGACUCUGGCUUAUCUUGUUGGUCUGUGAGACCAGAGUAAUGAUUAAGAGGGACAGUCGGGGACAUUCGUAUUUCAUUGUCAGAGGUGAAAUUCUUGGAUUUAUGAAAGACGAACUUCUGCGAAAGCAUUUGUCAAGGAUGUUUUCAUUAA
This 379-nucleotide ribosomal RNA is filed under the name uncultured eukaryote. RNAcentral describes it as "partial 18S ribosomal RNA". It matches the Rfam family "Eukaryotic small subunit ribosomal RNA", at positions 592 to 976 of the family's 1831-position model. The record is from RNAcentral.